This 879-nucleotide ribosomal RNA is filed under the name Arthroderma quadrifidum. RNAcentral's name for it is "LSU rRNA". It matches the Rfam family "Eukaryotic large subunit ribosomal RNA", at positions 36 to 935 of the family's 3401-position model. Lineage: Eukaryota; Fungi; Ascomycota; Eurotiomycetes; Onygenales; Arthrodermataceae. The record is from RNAcentral.
UAGCAUAUCUAUAGCGGAGGAAAAGAAACCAACAGGGAUUGCCCCCAGUAACGGCGAGUGAGCGGCAAAAGCUCAAAUUUGAUAUCUGGCUCCUUAGGGGUCCGAGUUGUAAUUUGUAGAGGAUGCUUCGGGUGCGGCCACGGCCUAAGUUCCUUGGAACAGGACGUCAUAGAGGGUGAGAAUCCCGUCUUGGGUCGUUGGUCCACGCCCGUGUGAAGCUCCUUCGACGAGUCGAGUUGUUUGGGAAUGCAGCUCUAAGCGGGUGGUAAAUUUCAUCUAAAGCUAAAUAUUGGCCGGAGACCGAUAGCGCACAAGUAGAGUGAUCGAAAGGUUAAAAGCACCUUGAAAAGGGAGUUAAACAGCACGUGAAAUUGUUGAAAGGGAAGCGCUUGCGGCCAGACUCAGGCGCAGGGUUCAGCGGGUGCGUGUCACCCGUGCACUCCCUGCCGCCUGGGCCAGCAUCAGUUCUGACGGCCGGUCAAAGGCCCCCGGAAUGUGUCGUCUCUCGGGACGUCUUAUAGCCGGGGGUGCAAUGCGGCCCGUCGGGACUGAGGAACGCGCUUCGGCUCGGAUGCUGGCAUAAUGGCCGUAAGCGGCCCGUCUUGAAACACGGACCAAGGAGUCUAACAUCCACGCGAGUGUUCGGGUGUCAAACCCGUGCGCGCAGUGAAAGCGAACGGAGGUGGGAGCCUUAGGGCGCACCAUCGACCGAUCCUGAAGUCUUCGGAUGGAUUUGAGUAGGAGCGUGGCCGUUGGGACCCGAAAGAUGGUGAACUAUGCCUGAAUAGGGUGAAGCCAGAGGAAACUCUGGUGGAGGCUCGCAGCGGUUCUGACGUGCAAAUCGAUCGUCAAAUUUGGGCAUAGGGGCGAAAGACUAAU